RNAcentral lists this ribosomal RNA (253 nucleotides) under uncultured bacterium. Its description in RNAcentral is "partial 16S ribosomal RNA". It matches the Rfam family "Bacterial small subunit ribosomal RNA", at positions 524 to 776 of the family's 1533-position model. The record is from RNAcentral.
UACGUAGGUGGCAAGCGUUGUCCGGAAUUAUUGGGCGUAAAGCGCGCGCAGGCGGUCUUUUAAGUCUGAUGUGAAAGCCCCCGGCUCAACCGGGGAGGGUCAUUGGAAACUGGGAGACUUGAGUGCAGAAGAGAAGAGUGGAAUUCCACGUGUAGCGGUGAAAUGCGUAGAGAUGUGGAGGAACACCAGUGGCGAAGGCGACUCUUUGGACAGAGUCUGACGCUGAGGCGCGAAAGCUAGGGGAGCAAACAGG